This 603-nucleotide ribosomal RNA is filed under the name uncultured bacterium. RNAcentral's name for it is "bacterial SSU rRNA". It matches the Rfam family "Bacterial small subunit ribosomal RNA", at positions 888 to 1498 of the family's 1533-position model. The record is from RNAcentral.
GCAAGAAUGAAACUCAAAGGAAUUGACGGGGGCCCGCACAAGCGGAGGAACAUGUGGUUUAAUUCGAUGAUACGCGAGGAACCUUACCUGGACUUAAAUGUAGCGUGACCGCAGCCGAAAGGUUGUUUCUCUUCGGAGCAGGUUACAAGGUGCUGCAUGGUUGUCGUCAGCUCGUGCCGUGAGGUGUCGGGUUAAGUCCCAUAACGAGCGCAACCCCUAUUGUUAGUUGCUAACAGGUCAAGCUGAGGACUCUAGCGAGACUGCCACCGUAAGGUGAGAGGAAGGUGGGGAUGACGUCAAGUCAGCACGGCCCUUACGUCCAGGGCUACACACGUGUUACAAUGGUCGGUACAGAGAGCAGCUACUUGGUGACAAGAUGCGAAUCUUUUAAAGCCGGUCUUAGUUCGGAUCGAAGUCUGCAACUCGACUUCGUGAAGUUGGAUUCGCUAGUAAUCGCAUAUCAGCCAUGAUGCGGUGAAUACGUUCCCGGGCCUUGUACACACCGCCCGUCAAGCCAUGGAAGCUGGGGGUACCUGAAGUCCGUAACCGUUAAGGAACGGCCUAGGGUAAAACUGGUAACUGGGGCUAAGUCGUAACAAGGUA